This 214-nucleotide unclassified non-coding RNA is filed under the name Hevea brasiliensis (rubber tree). Lineage: Eukaryota; Viridiplantae; Streptophyta; Magnoliopsida; Malpighiales; Euphorbiaceae. The record is from RNAcentral.
AUUGAUGAUGAACACGAACCUCUGUUCACAAGAUUGCCAAGAAAUCAAUGCCAAAGUAUUGUUAGUGAUGUAGAUUUUUGAAGAAGGAAAAAUAAGUGAGUUCAUAACAGGCAAAGAAAAGCUUCUACUUCUACAGUUUUUUAGUUGGGCGUAAGCAUUCUGCAACAUUUUCUUGAUGCUAAUGAUCAAGAUUGGUCAAUUCCACCAAAAAAAA